Molecule: unclassified non-coding RNA, 959 nt
Filed under: Leishmania donovani
Lineage: Eukaryota; Euglenozoa; Kinetoplastea; Trypanosomatida; Trypanosomatidae
Description: gene:unknown
Source: RNAcentral
CGGUGCCACGUCUGCGCCGCCGUCCCUGGCGCGACGCUCCACCGACGCAGGACCGAAUAUUGCCCGAUCCUGAGCAAGACUCAUGUGUCUGUAUUACUUCCUUGUUUUCCUCGUCUCUCAGAUGAUGGAGACUUGUCCUUGUUUAUUCAUUGGAAGUGCUGCUGUCCUUCGUAACAGUACAAGACGAACUCGACGAGAGCCACAACUCCUCGGUGAUGCGCCUGCUUCUUUUCCUGUUGCAGCUAAGGAAGCGUCGAAUGUGUGGCGGCCCCCAGGCAGACUCUCUCCAUUUACGCGACCUGCUUCGCCGCCAGCGUCGGAUUUCUUCUCACCUCGCGCCGUGUUCGCACUCCCUGCCUGAGCUGCCCUUCGUCGACACGAGUUUUAAGCUCGGGUUCCACUUUUGCUCGAACGAGAAAAGCGGUGGGUGUCACACAGCACACGUGCGUCGUCCUUUGGCAUUCUGCUGGGCAUCGCCGCACGACUAUGCGGAUCGCCUUCUUGUGUAUUUUUUUGUGCGUGUGCCGUUGGUAAACGAUAAGCUGGCACCCUCGUGUAGUGCUCUCCUUUCGCGAACGAAAGAAAGGAUGGUGGCGAGGAGGAGGAGGAAUAGGUGGGAAUGCGCAACGCUUCCUGCAUCUUACCGCUCCCCCAAACCUCUUUCUAUGCUAUAUAUAUUUUUUUUUCGUGUUCCAUUCCCGCGAUGCGCACCUCUUCCCUCUCACUCAUCUCUUGCCUCUCGAUGUCAGAACCAUCUAACAAACAAGCUGGGGGUGUGGCGUAGUGGGGUGGGAGAGCGCUCUGGAUAGCCUUGCAUCUUCUUGUGCACAUGUGCGUCAUCGUGAGUGUGUUGCGCGUUUGACUGUUGUAAUCUUCUCUGCCUUUUUCUUUCCGGUUCUCUCUCUACCGGUGCUCGUAUAACGGAUUCAUAUCUGUGUGUGUGUGUGUGUGACUCGGAG